GGGGCACUCAUCUGUUUCCAUCUGAGUUUUUGGACCUUAAUGGAAUUUUAUCACUGGUCAUUUCUAAAAUUUCAUUCAUCCCCAAGCAUUUCGGGGACAAAUUUUAUCAAAUUUAUUCCAGUGCCAGUUUGAUAGACCCCUGCUACUUCACUAGUACAUGGGCUAUCCCCCAGGCAGACCCUUGCACUACCUGGCUGCCGAUGAGACGCCUAGUCUCAUCACCUAAGUGGAGAACCCUCGCUUCACAUUCCCCGGCUGGCGCAUUGUCGGGCAGGCAGGUUCUUCCUUACACUGAAGGUUGCAAGCUGACUUGCUCAGGCAGGAACUCAAAAUUCCGUUUGUAUGCUGAGUGUUUCUCAAGGGCCAAAAUUAAAUGAUUUUUUAAUAAAUAUUAUUAUUUAUUCUAACUGUCUUUCUGCUUUAAGCCAGUAUGAUUUGCUGAGACUAUGUUUUGGUUUACACACAGAAACCCCUUAUAUUUGCCUUGUUUGCAUUUUGUUUUGGAGCAGUUAUUUGGUCUUUUUUGCUCAUUUAUGUGGGCUAGCUAUCAAAUUGCCAUGCUGACUUUAAUUGAGAUUUGCUAUAUCAGGAUCCCUCAACAGUUACACAAACAAAAGAUUACACAACCUCCUACUGAAACUACAGAAAUAAUAUUCCCACUAUGAGACUACAAGAAAUAUAUAAUAAGAGUCUACAAGAAAAUACAAUAGAACAUUACAAGAAACUACAAUAUGAGACCACAAGAAAAUACAAUAUGAGAUAGCAGAAUACAAACACCUUUGAAGUUUUGUAUAAAUAUCUACUUAUAUGUAAUAUAAGUAUUGUUUAUACAAACAGAAAAGCCAUUUCAGUUUACAAGUAAUUAAUUUUAUGAUAAAGAUGCUGACAUCAUGGAUGCAAUUAAUUAACAUACACAGACCACUUGUUAUAUCUUGAGGUAAUUAGUCUAACAUUUGACACCUUGAAGUUACAUUGGAAUCUCACUAGGAGGCACACUAAUCUUUUCUUAAUCAGAUACAUGUCACAAACAAUCACUGUAGGAGAGGAAAGCAGAAUAUGAUACCAGAUCUCUUUAAUACUGAUU
RNAcentral lists this long non-coding RNA (1084 nucleotides) under Mytilus galloprovincialis (Mediterranean mussel). The record is from RNAcentral. Lineage: Eukaryota; Metazoa; Mollusca; Bivalvia; Mytilida; Mytilidae.